RNAcentral lists this ribosomal RNA (253 nucleotides) under uncultured bacterium. RNAcentral's name for it is "partial 16S ribosomal RNA". It matches the Rfam family "Bacterial small subunit ribosomal RNA", at positions 524 to 776 of the family's 1533-position model. The record is from RNAcentral.
AACGUAGGACGCAAGCGGUAUCCGGAAUUACUGGGAGUAAAGCGCGUGUAGGCGGAUCAUUAAGUCACUGGUGAAAGCACCGGGCUAAACUCGGUGAGGUUCGGUGAGACUGGUGGUCUGGAGUAUGUCAGAGGGGUGCGGAAUUCCGGGUGUAGUGGUGAAAUGCGUAGAGAUCCGGAGGAACACCAGAGGCGAAGGCGGCACCCUGGGACAAAACUGACGCUGAGACGCGAAAGCAUGGGUAGCGAACGGG